CAAAAAAUGGGUUUUGUAGCACUGUUCAUUAUACACAAAUAUAUUUAGUUACAUUAACACAUACACAUUUAUUUUUAAGACAAAAUACAAGUGUAAUGUGUUAUGCUAAAUCAAUUUGUUAUUCACUCUGGUUUACCUAACUACCUAUCUUUAAACAAAAGUAAUUGGUUUACUUUUGCGAUAGAGAGUAGACCUAUUAUCAGGUUCAUAUUCCGGAACAGAGGGGGCGGUAAUGCUCCAUUAAGCUGGUUACCAAUCGCCGGUAAAAAAGAAAGAAGAAGAAGAAGAAUAUUUUUCAAACUAAAGGAUGUGACGUCAUUUUAACAACUUCCACGAAGACGGCGCGCAGGUGAUGGUGUGUCAUACCACAAUGACUUCUCCAGUCUGGCUAAAAGUUACAAAAGGUGAUCCUUCAGUAUGCCAUUCCUACUUCAGUGAGUGACUCAGGAAUCGCCUUCAAUAGCAGAUUUCAAAACUAGAUGGCCUGCUCUUUUCAGAAGGGAAGAGAUUUGUGCACAGUUUAAAAGAAUCACAACAGCCCCAUUGGUGUCUACAUACUUGGCGAAGAUGAAUCCAUAUUCUGCAAAGCUUAUAAGGAUCUAUGCAA
This is a long non-coding RNA of Paramisgurnus dabryanus, 607 nucleotides long. RefSeq lists it as uncharacterized. The record is from RefSeq and is a predicted model, not a curated record. Lineage: Eukaryota; Metazoa; Chordata; Actinopteri; Cypriniformes; Cobitidae.